CUACGGGUUGCUGCAGUGAGGAAUAUUGCACAAUGGGGGGAACCCUGAUGCAGCAACGCCGCGUGGAGGAUGACGCAUUUCGGUGUGUAAACUCCUUUUAUAUGUCAAGAAAAUGACGGUAGCAUAUGAAUAAGCACCGGCUAACUCCGUGCCAGCAGCCGCGGUAAUACGGAGGGUGCAAGCGUUACUCGGAAUCACUGGCGUAAAGGACGCGUAGGCGGGUUGGAAAGUCAGGUGUGAAAUCCUACAGCUUAACUGUAGAACUGCACUUGAAACUUCUAAUCUAGAGUAUGGGAGGGGGAGAGGGAAUUAGUGGUGUAGGGGUAAAAUCCGUAGAUAUCACUAGGAAUACCUAAAGCGAAGGCGAUCUCCUGGAACAUUACUGACGCUAAGGCGUGAAAGCGUGGGGAGCAAACAGGAUUAGAUACCCGAGUAGUC
Molecule: ribosomal RNA, 438 nt
Filed under: uncultured bacterium
Lineage: Bacteria
Description: partial 16S ribosomal RNA
Rfam family: Bacterial small subunit ribosomal RNA
Source: RNAcentral